This 253-nucleotide ribosomal RNA is filed under the name uncultured bacterium. Its description in RNAcentral is "partial 16S ribosomal RNA". It matches the Rfam family "Bacterial small subunit ribosomal RNA", at positions 524 to 776 of the family's 1533-position model. The record is from RNAcentral.
UACGGGGGGGGCAAGCGUUGUUCGGAAUUACUGGGCGUAAAGGGCUCGUAGGCGGCCAACUAAGUCAGACGUGAAAUCCCUCGGCUUAACCGGGGAACUGCAUCUGAUACUGGAUGGCUUGAGAUUGGGAGAGGGAUGCGGAAUUCCAGGUGUAGCGGUGAAAUGCGUAGAUAUCUGGAGGAACACCGGUGGCGAAGGCGGUUCUCUGGGACGGUACUGACGCUGAGACGCGAAAGCGUGGGGAGCGAACAGG